This 489-nucleotide long non-coding RNA is filed under the name Vigna radiata. RNAcentral's name for it is "long non-coding RNA (VRAD_LNC013569)". Lineage: Eukaryota; Viridiplantae; Streptophyta; Magnoliopsida; Fabales; Fabaceae. The record is from RNAcentral.
UUGAAUUCAAGAAAAAGGCCAAGAAAGAUUCUGGGUGUGAGAAAACAGGGUUUUCAUGUGGAUUUGGGUAAUGAUUCCAAUUUCUGUGGUUGUUUCUGGUUUUGGUUGCAGCUUCUGAUGCGGUGAUGAUGAUGAAUGAUGGCCAUGGUUGCGCGGAUAGUUGCACUGUGGUGGAAGACGAAUUGGGUUUCUGAUAUUCGGAAUUGUGCUUGCAGAUCUGGCUUUGAUGCAGGUUGCGAAAAUGGAGGAAGAUUGAUGGAAGAAAACGGCCAUGGAUGUUGCAGCGUGGUUGCGAUUCGAAGGGGAUGACGCUCGAAGCUUAACGGCGACAGGAUUCUGGAUUCUCCGCGACGGCGAAACUGUUGCUUGCUCACAGAAGGUUGGACGGUGGGGUGAAGGGUUUGUAAUGGUGGUGACGACGUCGCGGUGCUUGUGGAGAGGUGGCUGCUAGCGGCGCGAUUUCUCUGAUUCACGGUGCAGUGCGACGGC